This 228-nucleotide long non-coding RNA is filed under the name Manihot esculenta (cassava). RNAcentral describes it as "long non-coding RNA (MESC_LNC011375)". The record is from RNAcentral. Lineage: Eukaryota; Viridiplantae; Streptophyta; Magnoliopsida; Malpighiales; Euphorbiaceae.
UCCCUUCAAACUCACGUCGUCUGGUACACAUAACCUGUUUUUGUACUGGAGGAUCCCUUGGUUGUCAAAUCUAAACUCCUCAUUCUUGUCUGACUGGACAGUCUUGGCAAUCUUCACCAACUCUGGAUCCUCAUACUGUUUCUGUGCCACUUGCUCCAGAAACACGGGUGUCACUCUCAUCUGAGCCACUAGUGCACAUGUACCAGACAACUCUAACUGUAAACCCUC